Ornithodoros turicata is the source of this 578-nucleotide long non-coding RNA. RefSeq lists it as uncharacterized. The transcript is spliced from 4 exons. Lineage: Eukaryota; Metazoa; Arthropoda; Arachnida; Ixodida; Argasidae. The record is from RefSeq and is a predicted model, not a curated record.
AGAAGAGAUAGGACUGUGAAGUCUUACAUCACGUAUUCAGGAUAGCUACAUAUACCUGGUGUAGUUUUGGUGUUCGGGGAUGGAAAAAUCAUGUUCGUUCAUCUUCGUUUUCUGCCACAAGAGGAGAGAGCGCGAGAACGAAUGUGGUUCGAAACACUCGGCUAUUAGAUGCAACAGUCGUGGCGUGUGUGCUGAGCUUAUUUUGCUGCCGAUGACUACGAAGAAGAUGCCGUAGACGGCGAAUUGCGAAGGCGUCCGAAGCAAACUGCCGUUCAGUAACCAGUGAUUUUGCUUCACCGAGGUGGCUAGUUCAACACAACUCUUUAGGGGCCUUCCAGUGGCGCCGGACUGCUACGUGUUGUGUGAUCCAGGCACUCAAGUUGACACGACAGAAAUAGCUGAAAGCAGCAUGCAUGAAGAAAAGUUCUCAUCCUCAUCAAGAUGACAGGUCACUGUUGGAUCUGCAGCAUUAUUGUCCCUGCAGUCUUUUCACCAACAGAGAAUACAAAAGUGCACAAAUGGUGUUACAACUCUAUCAAGUACGUCGAAACAUCAGAGGGCAGGAAGUCCUACUCUUU